Sceloporus undulatus (fence lizard) is the source of this 610-nucleotide long non-coding RNA. RefSeq lists it as uncharacterized. The transcript is spliced from 3 exons. NCBI's taxonomy places the organism in Eukaryota, Metazoa, Chordata, Lepidosauria, Squamata, Phrynosomatidae. The record is from RefSeq and is a predicted model, not a curated record.
AGCAGACAGCGCUUGCUUUUCAAGGCACUGAAAAUAAAUUUUCAUUGGUGAGAAACAAGGAAUAUGAUCUUUUGAAAAGGAGUUAGUUUUGAGUGUUCCAAGUUGCUGGGAAGAAAACAAACAUGUAGGAGGCUUCUGCUGAAGGCCUAGAAACCACAGGAAUUUGGGGUGGGUCUCCUCUGGCAGCACUGCCUGAUCCAUUACGGUAUACAACACACUAUGGGAUCAAACUUCCUAGACAACAACACAGUGGAAAGCAUCUCAUAACAAUGCUUUGGAUAUUCAAAUUCCAUGUAUGCAAGACUGUCAAGAGUACUGAGUAUUGAAAAGAUCUAAAAUUAGAUGGAGGAGAAGUUGGGAGGGAAUUUGAUGCAAACAGAUGAGUACAAGUGUACUGCAUGAGUGCUUUGGUUAAAAUAAAAAGGUUUCUAACCAAUAAUGAAGUCCAAACAAGAAAGCAAUGGAGAAUCAGCGUUCCAGUUCAAUGAACCAAGUCACCCGUUCCAGGACAGUGCAUUGUUUGGCGGAACUAAGUAGCAAACACGGUGUACAUUGCUGAGAUACUUUUUCAAAAGUAAGGAAGUUGGUUGCCUAAUUCCUAUUAAUUUUA